GACGGAGGGUGCUAGCGUUGUUCGGAAUCACUGGGCGUAAAGGGAGCGUAGGCGGGUUUCUAAGUCAGGUGUUUAAUCCCGGGGCCCAACCCCGGACAGGCACUUGAAACUGGGAAUCUUGAAUAGUGGAGAGGUCAGUGGAAUUGGGGGUGUAGCGGUGGAAUGCGUAGAGAUCCCCAAGAACACCAGUUGCGAAGGCGGCUGACUGGACACAUAUUGACGCUGAGGCUCGAAAGCAUGGGGAGCAAACAGG
This 253-nucleotide ribosomal RNA is filed under the name uncultured bacterium. RNAcentral describes it as "partial 16S ribosomal RNA". It matches the Rfam family "Bacterial small subunit ribosomal RNA", at positions 524 to 776 of the family's 1533-position model. The record is from RNAcentral.